This 3293-nucleotide long non-coding RNA is filed under the name Oryza brachyantha (malo sina). RNAcentral's name for it is "long non-coding RNA (OBRA_LNC002432)". The record is from RNAcentral. Lineage: Eukaryota; Viridiplantae; Streptophyta; Magnoliopsida; Poales; Poaceae.
GCUCACAUUGUUGAUUCAUUUGGCCCUUGGCUUGAUUUCUUGAGAUUCACUUUGAGCCUUACUUUCUCACUUCCUCCUCUCCACGUAUCUAAGUGUUUGGAUUUUGUGAGUGUGAGAGUUGGUGGAUUUGAGUUGGUUUGAGUGCUUGGUGUUGAGUUCAUGAAGAAAUUUUUUGAGCACUAGAUUCAUCCCCAAGAAUUUGUUACAAGCUUGUUACUCUUGGUGGUUGAGGACACCUAGAUGGCUAGGCGUCGUUUCUUAAGCCACCAAAGUUCUUGUGAUGAGCCGAAGAAAGGUUUGUGAAGGUCAGGUCUCACCUCCGCAUGGGAAGAGACACCACGAGUGAGGGGUAGUACAUUAGUGCAACCCCGAGAAAAGAGUCGUGGAAACCUAACUCAAGUUCGAGCUCCUCAAUGCAGAGUACAAUCCCCUCGAGGAUUGGAACUUCGGGAAAAAGUCUCCGUGUAAUCUUGUGGUGAAAUCUCUCUAACUUGUGUUUUUAGCUUUGCUUAUGGUUGCUUCGCACACUCUAUUUGCUGAUUGUGCAUAUCUUGGAGAUUUCCUACUAGGUUGUGAUUUGGUUAGUUAGAUCUUUGCAUUUAUUGUUCUAGAUCUGGUGCUGUCGGAAGUUCUGAAGGACUGACCGGAACUUCCAAAAAUUUUAGUUUCUAUAUUUCAGUUUAAAAGUUUAAUCGUCUAUUCACCCCUUCUAAGCCUUGAUUUACUCUUUCACAAGUUCCACCGUUGCCUACUUUGGCUUGUGGUUAGUGCACAAUAACUUUUAGGGUUUUCCGAGAACCUAUCCUUAAUUUCUAUGGACAUGACUUUUAAAACUAUGCUCCCACAACGCACCAUUAAUCAAUAUUUUAGUUUCCUUAACCCAUGUAGGGUAUUUAAUCAUAAUUAUCAACUAGCAUUAAUUAAGUGGAGACCCAUGAUCUAGUUCAACUAAGUUGAGUUAAAGCAAUUUCAAAGCCUAAUUCUACUCAAAUUACCCAUGGUAUACAAUAAUAAUAAUUGGGAUACACCGGCUAAACCAUAGGUAAUUGCCCAGUAAAUAAAUUAAAGUAAAACAAUGUAUGUUCGAAUAUAAAACAGAGCUUUUAAAACCAUAGGUACAAUAUGAUCAAGGUUAGAGUGCGGAACCUCGGUGACAACUUCAAAGUAACGCGACGCGUCGGUGGAAUCUCGAAUCUACAUGAUAAACAACGCAAAACAAGUACAAACAGGUUAUAAGACUACUGAAACUAAACAAGAAACUAUUUUUAAUGGAUUCUUGACAAAAAUGUAGGGUAAAUAGAAAUGAUCAUAUGGUGGUUUAGAAAUAUUUUCUUCACACCAUGUUUUUAGGUGAAGUAAAUUUGUUCAUAAGCCAAAUGAUGCAUCAUCGUAUAAUAUAAUUUUAAAUCAUUUAAAGAUAUGUGCAUCUUAUGAUAAUAAUGAAUUGGAAAUACAACUAAUUGAAAAUAUCAUUAGUAAUUUACUUUGUUAAAAAUGACAUAUAAAUAUUUGCUAAAUAAUAUAUGAACACCUAAUAUUUUAUUUAAUAUCUUUUUAUGUAAUAUAAGAAGACAUGAUGAAAUUUGUUUUUAAACUCAUAAUAAAAUUAGACUUUAAAUUACAUGUUAUUUGAGAGUUAUACAAUUGCUUUGUUCUUUUGAUAUAUACAAAUGUCAACAUAUUUUUAUUUAUUAUAAGAAGGCAAAAGGUUGUAUGGGAUGUCACUCAUGUUUGUACAAAGUGAUUUCAUAAAAUUUAACUUUAUAAAGUUUAUUUUAAUAUUAGAUAAUGUGAAUAAAUAUUUAAUUAAAAUUAUCCUUGCAAUGUGUGAACUUGAUAUUACAGUGAUUCUCAAAUUAGUGUAUCAAAAUUUAUUAUUGCAAUGUUUCUAAAAUUAGCAUAUAAAGUUGGCCUUGCAAGUAAUACAAUUGUCAUCCAACUUGAAAACGUGUAAUUUAUUACAAUUUGGUCCAAGCUAUAAUUAAUUAUGCAAAUAUACAAUAGUCCCUAUUAAUUGGUGGUUUGCUGUUAUUUUCUCGGAGUUUUUUUUAAAUAAUCAUGUUAAUAAGGGCAACGCUCCGGUGCAUUUUACUGGUAGUAUUAUACUACCGGUAGAACUAAUCUCGUCCAUCAAUUAAAAAGGUAUUUUUGUACUUUAAUUAUCUGUUUUGUAUUUGUUAAUUAUUUGGCCGCUUGUAUUUUUUCUUCAUCCAUUCUGCAUCUUUAAUUGGACAAGAUUAGUUCUACGUCGUCCAAAAUCUGCAUCAUUAAUUGGGGGUAACUCUCCGGUGUAUUUUGCCGGUAGUAUUAAAAAAGGUAUUUUUGUACUUUUUAAUUACUUGGUUAGCAAUAUUUUGUAAUUUUGCUUUUUUGCAAUAAAGACCACAAUAAAAAUGACGAUAUUACCUCUAGCCGUCCGAUAAAAAUAGAUCAACGGUAUGGAUUAAAUUCUAUUAGCAGUAAAAUGUACUGAAGUCAGUCCUUAAUUGGACGGGAUUAGUUCUGCAUUGUCCAAUCUGCCGUGGUAUCCAAUUAGGUAAUUUAUGAUCACUGUAGAAAGAACAAUAUUGUCUCCUCAAAUUUCUGCUACAUUGAUAGUAUAAUUUAAUCACAACCAUUUGCUAAAAAAAGAUCAAACUGUGUGGAUUAAAUUCUACUGUAAGUAAAAAUACACCGUAGUCGACACCUAUUAAUAAAUGCUUGAUAGACAAAUAUAUCCGAAUGUUUAGUUUAUCUUUACAACUUUCUUUUUAAAUUUUUUUGAGAACAAACUUUCUUUAUAAUUUAGACCACUCUAUCUUACACAUAUGGUUCACAGGAUAUCUCAUAUCCGGGUAUCCCACAAUAUUAUUUAGUAUUAUUUGUGUUUCAUAUAUGUUUUGGUUGUUUUGAAAAAAGAAAUCAACCAACAUUCAUCCCUUGAUCUAUCCCAUCCAAUCCUGCACAUUUACAGUGAAAUAUAUAGGAUCACACACACCUAAUGUGAACUCUCUCUUCUAUUUCAUUGCAUAAUCUGUGAAGUUUGAUCCACCGAUAUCAGAAGUUUGCCAGAUAAACAAGGCUACAAGUGGCAAUCAGCAGGAUAGCGUAAAACGUGUUAUGCUUCCAUGCUCUCCAAUUAUCCUGACGCACAGUAGCGCUGUUAUGUAAACCAGGCACUGCGAUGCGUUGAGCGCAUCUUGGGCUUGUAUAUAAACUGCCAGUGCUUUUGUUAUAGGAGAAGUGGAUGGAAUCAUCACCUAGUUUCUUCCCACAGACAUGAUCAGCAACACCUUGGAUGAUGGACCAGCAUG